RNAcentral lists this ribosomal RNA (433 nucleotides) under uncultured bacterium. RNAcentral's name for it is "partial 16S ribosomal RNA". It matches the Rfam family "Bacterial small subunit ribosomal RNA", at positions 29 to 507 of the family's 1533-position model. The record is from RNAcentral.
AACGAACGCUGGCGGCAUGCCUAACACAUGCAAGUCGAACGAGACCUUCGGGUCUAGUGGCGCACGGGUGCGUAACGCGUGGGAACCUGCCCUUAUGGUCGGCAUAACUCCCCGAAUGGGGUGCUAAUACCGGAUAAUGGCUUCUGACCAAAGAUUUAUCGCCUUUGGUUGGUCACGCGUUGAAUUAGCUAGUUGGUAGGGUUAAAGCUUACCAAGGCGACCAUUCAUAACUUGUUUGUGAGGAUGAUCAGCGACACUGGGACUGAGAAACGGCCCAGACUCCUACGCGAGGCAGCAGUGCGGAAUAUUGGACAAUGGGCGAAAGGAUGAUCGAGCAAUGACGCGUGAGUGAUGAAGGCAUUAGGGUUGUAAAGCUCUUUUAACCGGGAUGAUAAUGACAGUACCGGGAGAAUAAGCCCCGGCUAACUACGUG